Molecule: long non-coding RNA, 5806 nt
Organism: Gadus chalcogrammus (walleye pollock)
Lineage: Eukaryota; Metazoa; Chordata; Actinopteri; Gadiformes; Gadidae
Exons: 4
Source: RefSeq, a predicted model, not a curated record
ACCCGGGCAGCUGCGCACCGGUUGCACCGUCGAUAUUUACGCCAUUGAUUAAUAAUAUCUUGACCAUUAAAUAAAUGCCUUAAAUAAAUGCCGAAUCUGUAUCUCUCAUAAAGAAUAUCGUCAGACAAUGCCAAGGGAUCGGUUCUGUCCCGAAAAACCCUCCGUCUCCGGAGAGACGCCUGUACGAUAGGUGCGUCGAGGUCCAUGGGAACACCCACAAAUGGUGACGCCAUUAUCGGAGGAGGGGCUAGGAAGCUGCGCACGCCGAUAUAAGUAGCCGAUCUCCGGGGUAGACUCGCUGAAAAGCUGCUCCCGACCAGGUUUUGUUGCGAGCGUAAGUCACCAUGUUGAUAAGAAAAAAGAGAUCGACUUUCAUGGUACAGCUAACCCAUGCUUUCAGCUCAACAUACCUCGCUAACCCUCUAAUCGAGCUUCGUAGUACAGACCCCUGGAUUGGGCUUCGCGGGUUUGUUUCCCGGCGUUUCUAUUACCGGUCUUGGGUGUUCCAACGGUUUAUUAGGUGUCUAAUAAAUCGCCGUCUAAUCAAUACUUCAUUCACUGCCUCUUCCGUGGUUAUUACAAUAUUAUGAAUAGACUGCUCUAAAAAAAUAAAUAAUACUAAUUAUACCAGAUACAUUUUCAGUCGCACCGGUGCGCCCAAAUAAAAUAUUUGGUCGCACUACCCCGAAUUCUAGGCGCAUGUGCGCCCAAAUUAGGCGCACUCUGGAGCCCUGGAUUCAGCCAACACAGGAGAGGAUUUAUAAAGAAGGAAUUUCAUUUAUAUAUUGACGCAAUUUCUGUAAAAGAAAAAUAAAUCGAGAUUUUAUUUCUAGCCUUGAUAAGCCAAUAUUGGGCAAAGAAAUCGACCAAGCGAUAUAUUGGUAGGGCUCUAAUUGUCAACCAUUGCACAGCCCAAACACAGAACUAGAGCGUAAUAUCGUAUCUUUCGACAUGUCUUUCUUUCUCACUGUUCAACACUGCCAUGUGUGUCGUCUAGUGUGUCCCGGCCACACCAGACGCAAUGUCCCUCGCCUGCCAUCGCCUUCCAUCCCCCUGCCCCUCUCUAGUCCAGCUAAUGGGAGUAUGCAACGGUUUCAAUGGAAGUGCUUGAAACCAGAAAAAAUAUAUUUAACCUGGCAUUGCGUCGGUUUGGUCCUGGCCAGCUUUACAAUGAAGCUCUGCCGUCAUCAAGUCUGACACGGACCAAGAGCGGAUCUGUUGACUUUCUCCAUACAGCACCUUGAUAUUGUAGUUUUUCUUUUUCGAGUUUUAUUCAAAUGUUAAAAUAAAUGUCACCUUUUUAUAGAAAACGAGGCAGCCAUGAGUGGUGCUUUAAAAGCAGCAUGAUGGUGGAGCGCCACUAUUAAAUUCUUCAGGGAGAAUCCUGAUACGAUUUUAGAUCAUUGACUGGUAAUAAGCCUGUGAUUUACAGAGUUUCUCGUGCGCUGAUACCGAAAAUUCUCGAACCUGAAUAUCAACGGCGAACCGAUACAUCGCUUGGCCCCUAAUCAUUUUCUUAUCCUCAGCUUGUUGUAAAAUUACGAUAAUUUGAGCUGUAAAAUAAUGUUGAAAAUAUAAUAGUGCUGUUUUCUUUGUAUGACUGCUUGUACUUCUUCUUUCCAUUGGGGUGGGGGUUGAAAUUGGGGGGAUAUCCCUCCAUGCCUGUGAACCCUUGCUGAAAUGGAUCUGGUCCACUGCAUUGUUGUGGUUGGGGCAGUUGUUUGGUAUGGUUGUAAUAUUGUUUGCCUUUUAGGUCUCUUCCAGCCUAGUAACCACGUUCUUGAUAUAGCCCUGGAUGCUCCUCUUCCAUCAACAUUUGGGGUCCAUGGUUUCUCUAUGGAUCCAAGCUUAUGAACAUUUACGAUACAUAUAGGGCAUUUAACGUACGCUUUCAUUCAAAGCGAAUUACAACAGUUUAUACACAGUGAUGGGGGACUCAACCAUUCAAGGCUUGAGCAUCAAGGGUUAGGUGUCUUGCUCAGGCACACGAUAGCUUCACUAUUCAAGGCUAUUUGUUACCAAUUGAAGAACAAAAUCUUAACUUUAGUGUACAAUCAGAUGCGCUCAUAUAUAAAUCAUUUAUUGAAGAAACACAAUAUAUAGCUUAAUCGAUGCUCACAUGAGUAGGUUACCUGUUUUAGACUGCAUACCUUGGAUGUAUAUCUCCUCACUGGAAAGUUCAGCAAUAGAAGUUCUCAGUGCUUGAGCUGGUGUCAUAUGCAGGAUUUUAGACAGUGUGUCUGGGAAAUGGCGUGUUAUCUGGCUGACUGGUCUGGCUUGCCAAAUAUUGAGUAAGAAUAAAAUCAAGGUGUAGUUUCCUAGUCUUUAGUUUCAAACAUACCACAGAGCCCAGGCGCUUUGUUCAUUACGUAACAUUUUUCAGCUCAAAUUCAAAGCGAUUUAAAAUAACUGUUCAACCAUUAAGAUACAAGAAUCAUUCGAGUACAUACAAUUCAUAAAAUAAGCCAUGUGGCACAUUUUAGAAACUAAAUAUAGAUUGUUUUUAAGAGAUUAAUGCAUUGGCCAAUAGCCAGAUGGGAUUUUAUUGAGCGGCAGAUUUAGCACCCUGGUAGUGGGGGAGAAGGAAGCCUUUUGCGAAGUGGACGGGCUGGGGUGUAAUCUUUGACCAUGUUCUGGAUGAAGGAUGAGCCUUUCGCAGCACGGUUGGUAAGUACCAGUGACUUGAAUCGUAUUCAAGGAGCCACAAGGGAAGGGUGCGGAGGAGCGGUGUAGUGUGGGAGAACUCGGGUAGGCGGAAGACCAGCUGGGCUGCUGCCUUCUGGAUGAGCUGCAGAAGUUGAAUGGCAGACCAGACAGAAGGGAGUUGCAGUAGUCCAGACCCGAGAUGACGCUAGCCUGGACGAAAACCUGCGUGGCCUUCUGGGUGAGGAAAGGACGUAUCCUCCUGAAGUUGUGGAGCAAAAAUCUGCUGGAGCAGGUUGCAGCAAAGGACAUCUGGUAAUCCAGUGUCACACCCAGGUUCAGUUUGAGCCACACACAACAGUUCUGUACCAUAGAGUUCUCUACAUGGAUAGAGAAGUCGUUGAUGGGAGAUGCCUUCCCUGAAACAAAAAGCAUCGAUCUCGUUCAGACCGAGCGUCAAGUGGUGUUUCGAAAAUCCACGAGAUGUCGGCUAGACACUCGGAUUCAGAGCUGGCACCUGGUUUAAUCUGUCCUCUGCAUAGAUGUGGUAGGAAGUGCCAUGUGAGUGAAUCCCAGAACCCAGUCACUUGGUAUAUAGAGAGAAGAUGAUGGGACCCAGAAUAGAAUCCUGAGGGACCCCAGUUGUUGGGCUACACGGUUCAGAUUCUUUCAUGUGAGCAGGGAGAAUGCAGAGCCUGAGACCCCCAGUCUGGUGCUUUUCUAGCAGUGUGAAGUUUAUCUGAAUGCAAGGAGGGCCGCCUCCAUUGAAAGGGUUUAUUGGUGAUGGUUAAAGAGUCGGGUAAAGACGUCACACAAGUGUUUUCGAAAUCAAUGGAUGGAGAGAGACAAGUCUGUAAUUCUUAACAUCAGAUGGGUUUGGUGUGGGUUAAUUUUUAUGGAGGGUUCACUCUGCUGUACGAUUUUUCGGAUAACAACCAGUUAUCAAAGAAGUAUUGAUGGGAUGGGUAAAGAACAAAAGGAUGGUAGCCAUACACUGAAGGUAGUUUGUGGAUAGGGUUGAGAUGGCAGUUGGUAUGAGUUGACAACGGGUGGAGCUCAAAGGGAUAAUGCUAGAAAGAAAAAAUUAGUGCUGAAGAGGUGGAGAGGACAGGUGUUGGAUGAAAUUUGUAAUUUUUUCUAGAUGGUGUAACAAAAUUCCUCUGGAGGAGUGAAAUGAGGGAGCGGGUGGAUGAAGGAUGAGAAAUAAGACGGACAUAACGAUUUUGGGGGUUGGAUUAGGUAGUUAGAAUUUGAGAUUGUAAGAAAGAGCUUUUAGCAGCAGAUAAAAUGGUAGAAAAGAGGAGCGAAGAGAAUGAUGAGCAAGAACAUUGUCAGGGGGCUUGGAUUUGCACCUUGUCUCUCAGCCUCGUGUAAUGGCCCCGUCAGCACUCUGCUUGCUUGUGCCUGCCAGUUGGAUUAGAGUAGAGAAGAGAGAAUAAUGUCCAUGGAAGAGAUGCGAAAGGCAUGAGGGAGAAGGAGUAAUUUGAGAGGAGAGCUGAUAGGAUAUAUGAAGCGAGAGAGGGGGGAGAGUUGCUGCGUAUAGUGAAAGAAUGUGUAGAAGCGGGAGGUGGUUCGACAUUUGGAGAGGUGAAAGUUAAAGUGAUAUAAAGAGGCAAUACAGAAAGGUCGGUGGCAGAGCCAUUCCUUGUGGUAGUUUUACCAGCUCUCUGGGUGUGGGGGGGAGGGAUUGAUGGAAGAGAACAACUACUGAGAUGAUAACUUCUGUCUGGAUGUUGAAAUCACCGAGAAGUACCAGCGGGGGGCCCUCUUCGGGGAUGUUCGGUAGGAGGACGUCUAAUUCCCAUGGAGGACCUGGUGCGCGAUAGAGAUCAGCCAUGUAUAAUUUCACCUGGUAAGUUACAGACACGGACGGAAAUUUGAAAGGCGUUGAAGGUGUAAAGAGAAAUCUUUUAUUAGUGGGUUAUUGGAAGAUACCUAAGAAACCAGCCCCAUGGGGAACAGGUUUCUAAAGGGAAUGUAGGCGAUUCAAGAGAAAAUAUAAACCAAUCAGCAUCUGCUUUGCCAAUGGCCGGCCGCAUUCGUUCUGAUGCUGAUUGGCUGCCUUGCUCCAUCGGUGUCCCUGGCCAGCAUGAAACUGGCAGGGCAGGUUUGACAGAACUAAAUCUGCACGUGAAAGUAGUCCUUUGUUUUAGCUUCCCUUGGACGAGUUUCCGCUCAAAGUUAAUCAUGUUCCUUUGAUUGAUUCCAGAGAGGACACUACAGCAGGUUAUACUUUGAGUGAGGAAAGGCAUUUGAUACUUAAAAAUAUACAUAUAAAUACAUUAAUCUUUAAGGGCACACAGAACAAGUUAAUUACAAGAUGGGGGAUGUUUUUUUCUUUUUGUAUUGAUAUAACAUUGCCUAUAUUUAAUGAUGAAAGGCCAGUAAAUCAAUGAAAGGUCAGCUUUAGCAAACAAAAACAUGUCCUGCAUCAAGACAGCAGUGACUCGAUUGGAGAGUAGAUAUUCAUGGCACCACAGAAACCCACAGCAAUAUAUAUCCUAUUCAAGUAGCCCCACGUUCAGCGUGCAGUAUCUGGACAUCUUCAGUCAUCGAUCCAUUAUAUUUAUAGACCUGUCUUUUGUACCCAUAAUCAGCUGUGUUUGUCGUUUGGGUUCUAUGUAACCUCCAUCUCCAAUUCCAGCACUGUUCUCCUGAAUGACCUCCACUUGUCUCUUAUCUUCCAGUUAAAGCCAUCAUCAUGAGACCAAGAACGGUAUUCCUGUAAUCGUAUUUUGAGCGUCUUCUCCCAGGGGGGGAGCCCUCUCCAUUUAGACUGCCCAGAUGUGUCGGCAGCAGUUGGCUGGUGCUUUGUCACUGAGCUACAGGCUACCACUCCAAAAGACCUUCCCACAGGCGGCAAGCAGCAGCGGCAACAAGAACACGCAUCCUGCAGUGCCUCAGAGAGACGGACCUGAUGGUGUCGGAGCAGGCUGGAGCACCAACGUCCAAGAAGCUGAAGAGCAUUGGGAAUCACGACUAGAUCUCCUUCAGAACCUACCAUGGGUUCGUCGACAGCUGCUGUCCACAGGAGAUGGCGGCUGUAAAGGAUUAUUUUGAGAAGCGGUUGCCUUGAAUCUGACCUCAGUACACACCUAUUCUCUCUCUCUCUCUCUCUCUCUCUCUCUCUCUCUCUCUCUCUCUCUCUCUCUCUCUCUCUCUC